This is a long non-coding RNA of Alosa alosa (allis shad), 466 nucleotides long. RefSeq lists it as uncharacterized. The transcript is spliced from 3 exons. The record is from RefSeq and is a predicted model, not a curated record. Lineage: Eukaryota; Metazoa; Chordata; Actinopteri; Clupeiformes; Clupeidae.
AGUCAUUUCAAAACAAGACUCAGAAUCGUGCCUGUUUGUUCAAUGGUAGGUAUACAUGAAGUAUCUGAAAGCCACACUUGAGUAAAAGAACACCAGAAAAAGACUUUAGAAGGUACUGUACAAGAUAAGCACUUCCUGUGACUAUGAGAAUUGAAACGCAACAGGAAACCAAAAUAUGUCCAAUUUAGCUGAGCUUGGCAAGCACAGCAUUGCUAAGAGAUGUGCAAGCUACCCAUGCCAUAGGCAUUAAUGCAUCCCCAUACCACCAUGUUGGAUGGCCCCUCUCCUCUUCACCUCCAAGGAUGCAGGGUCCUUGAUGUCCAUCAAGAAUGAGACAUUUUGAUUGGUCUACCCAUGGAACUAGAACACUUUUCCACUUCGCCUGGGUUCAUCUUAAUUCGCCUUAUUCACCCGGCGGCCAUUACGAGUCUGAGGGGUACACUUGCCAUUACACCUCAGUCCAGCA